UGAAUUAAUUAUAAUCAUUAAGAAGCCUUGUGCUUCUCUUUUGGAGUAGUAAUAUCUCACGUUUAAAUUUCCCAGGUUUGAAAUCCUGGCAUUACUCAUGUUUGUCAGUUGAUCAUAUCCUGCUUCUGUGAUGAAUCUAUCUUAUGAUUUUUAAUUGAUCAGUUUUAAGGUAUACAUUUUAAGUUGCUGAUGCCAUGUUCCUGUUCUAAUGUUUUCCAUCAUGUAUGUGCAUUAUAGA
This 238-nucleotide unclassified non-coding RNA is filed under the name Hevea brasiliensis (rubber tree). The record is from RNAcentral. Lineage: Eukaryota; Viridiplantae; Streptophyta; Magnoliopsida; Malpighiales; Euphorbiaceae.